GAUGAACGCUGGCGGCGUGCUUAACACAUGCAAGUCGAACGGAAAGGCCCAAGCUUGCUUGGGUACUCGAGUGGCGAACGGGUGAGUAACACGUGGGUGAUCUGCCCUGCACUUCGGGAUAAGCCUGGGAAACUGGGUCUAAUACCGGAUAGGACGAUGGUUUGGAUGCCAUUGUGGAAAGUUUUUUCGGUGUGGGAUGAGCUCGCGGCCUAUCAGCUUGUUGGUGGGGUAAUGGCCUACCAAGGCGUCGACGGGUAGCCGGCCUGAGAGGGUGUACGGCCACAUUGGGACUGAGAUACGGCACAGACUCCUACGGGAGGCAGCAGUGGGGAAUAUUGCACAAUGGGCGCAAGCCUGAUGCAGCGACGCCGCGUGGGGGAUGACGGCCUUCGGGUUGUAAACUCCUUUCGCUAGGGACGAAGCGUUUUUGUGACGGUACCUGGAGAAGAAGCACCGGCUAACUACGUG
RNAcentral lists this ribosomal RNA (468 nucleotides) under uncultured bacterium. RNAcentral's name for it is "partial 16S ribosomal RNA". It matches the Rfam family "Bacterial small subunit ribosomal RNA", at positions 28 to 507 of the family's 1533-position model. The record is from RNAcentral.